Molecule: ribosomal RNA, 279 nt
Filed under: uncultured bacterium
Lineage: Bacteria
Description: partial 16S ribosomal RNA
Rfam family: Bacterial small subunit ribosomal RNA
Source: RNAcentral
UGCCAGCCGCCGCGGUAAUACGAAGGGACCUAGCGUAGUUCGGAAUUACUGGGCUUAAAGAGUUCGUAGGCGGAUUAAUAAGUUAGAGGUGAAAUCCCAGGGCUCAACCCUGGAACUGCCUUUAAAACUGUUAGUCUUGAGAUCGAGAGAGGUGAGUGGAAUUCCAAGUGUAGAGGUGAAAUUCGUAGAUAUUUGGAGGAACACCAGUGGCGAAGGCGGCUCACUGGCUCGAUACUGACGCUGAGGUACGAAAGUGUGGGGAGCAAACAGCAUUAGAUA